Molecule: long non-coding RNA, 6594 nt
Filed under: Brassica napus (rape)
Lineage: Eukaryota; Viridiplantae; Streptophyta; Magnoliopsida; Brassicales; Brassicaceae
Description: long non-coding RNA (BNAP_LNC014264)
Source: RNAcentral
GUUCUCCGAUGGUGAGAUUUCUCUCCACUGUCCAUGGUAAGUCGAAGAGCUUCGCGGUCACAAACUUGAAGAUCUUAUUUACGUUUAUGUUGUAAGAAGCACUCGAGAAGAAGAGAGUCGCGUUUAGCGCCUUGGCAUAGGUUCUCGCCUGGCUAGCAAUAGUCCAUUGCAGAUCGAUAGGGAGCUGAAUAAACUCAUCAAACUUUGUUCCUACCAUAACUGGAAUCGCGGUCUGCAUAGAAAACAUAAAGUGUUUUAUUAAGGAGAGACCGAAGCUGCCGUAUGCAUAAAGACAUUGUUAUAUAUAGAGAGAGAUCAAACUGAGAAUGUUAUUAGUGUUGUCUUAGAAUCCCACCUGAUUAGACCUUCUAGCUUGUUGAUACCAGCUAAUCACACUGCAUAAUCAUAAAAAUAAGAAGAAGCUUUAGCUUUUAAUUAAUCAAAAGUUACAUGUUGAUAAGGCUGAACAGUAAUUGUAGUACUUGUUAAGUGUGCAACGACUGGUGAGAUCGAACAUGAAGAGAAUGGCUACAGAGUCCUUGCAAGCCAUGGGGACUAGAUCCCGUGAUUUCUCAGCUCCUGUUUGAUUAACAUUCUAGUUAACCUCCAAUGAUUGCAAUGGAUUUAACAUUUAAUUGGUUGUUAAGAAGAAGAAAGAAGAUUAACCUUGUAACUCCCAGAUACUGUAGGAAAUACGAGCUCCUCCCAUGGAUAACGUCUUGUCCGUACAAUGGAUCCCUUUCUCCAAUUCUCUCAUUUCAACUUGUUUCUCUCCACCAACAUACUUCGCCUUCACAAUCAAAAUCAACCAAUUCAAAUAAUCAAUAUUAUUGUUUGUUUUCUUAAAUUUUAAUGUAUGUAAGUUAAUCAUUUUAGCUAUUAAUUUUUUUAAAUUUUGUGAUUUGCUAGUGAUCAAUGCAAAAAUGCAGCAACAUGUAAACAAACAUGACCAAUUAACCAUAAAUUUAAAAACCAGUAAUGACGUAGAGAGAUCGAAUGUGUAUAUGUAAAACUAACUAACCAGGAAGCAAGUUUUUCCGAUCUCGGGAUCUCCUAAGAGGCUUAUUUUUAGAGAAACCAGAUCAGAGUCCGAUCUCCGGUUGCUGCCAUCGUGGUUAUGUACCGAUGUGCGGCGUGCGACCUCACCUUCAACGGCGGGGACCGGAGGAGGGAGAGAACGAGAGACACUCGGAGACGGAGUGGCGGCGCGUGACAGCAAUAAAUAACUCUGUGAUUUACCGGGAGCGCAAGGGACGAUUCUGCUCAAGAGAAUGCGCGUGAAUCGACGGAGAAUCAAUACCCUACGGUUCACUAGGUUCCUGAGAUUGUUGGUUCGAGCGAUCUUGACGCAGGAUUGAGCCAUUUCGAUUGAUUAAGAGAAGAAGGGAAAAUAUAAAGUAGAAGGAAGAAGAAGAAGAUGCAGAAUCAGGAAGAUCUGGUGAUGGCCAGAGAGAAGCUGAUUGAUUCCAUUUUGGCCAUGAAAGAAAAAGGAAAGAAAGGAGAGAGAGGUAAUAUACGGAAAGCUUUCUAGGUUUCUGUGUUUCCUCCUCUUUUUCGGAGGGGACGACACUUCAAAGCUUUUUUUCAAAAUAUUAUUUGUUAUUUUUUAUUGAUUUUUUUGACACAUGUGUGGGGGGGCAACGAGAUGAGAGAGAGGUGGAGAUUUCUUGGAUGUGACGACCACAAAUCACAUUACACAUUUUCGGGCCUACGUUGACCUUUAAUUUUAAUUAGUCAUAUGCAUUCUAAUCUAAAUUACAGAUCUAUAGUAUAUCUUAACUUAUAAGAUAUUGAUAGAUAUAUUAAUAAUAUCAUAUUAUGUAUGUACAUAGAGAUAGAGAUAUCCGUACAUAAUAUGUAUUUGGAAAAUGUAAUUUGAUAUGGUUAUUAAUCACCCUAUAACAUAUACAUUAUGCAUUAGCGCCAGAAUUGAUUAAGUAUACCAAGUAGCUUAUUAAUUAAAUUUGAAGCCGGGACGGCUACGAGUUCAUGUAAUAAACUGUGCCAAACAUUUGGUCACUUUCUAAUUGAUAUGUAAGACCACAUAUAAAUAUAAUUUUGAAUAUAGAACGUACGUAUAAUUUAAUAAAUAUGUGAGAUUGAUGAAUUCUAUUGGCCCUCAACUUUCUAAUUAUAUUAGAAAUUGGAUCGUUGACGGUAAUAAUUUCACACAUAUAAUCUUAUCAUAUCUACAUUAAACGAAAUUUAAGUUGUGGUUACCAUCCAUAUAGUCUGCCAUAAGGUCUACGCAUAGUCCUUAUAUAUAAACAUACAUAUAUACACACACACAUAUAUAUAUAAGUUAACCUAGAUAUAACUCUCUCAAAACUUUUUAGACAUAUAAAUAAUCGCGUGUAUUUAAAAAAAGCUUUCGUAAGUUUUAUGAGAUAGUAAGUUACAAAAAAAAAGUUUUAUGAGAUAGUAGCUCUUAGAUAUGUUUACAAACAUAUACGUUGUGUACUUCACAAAUAUCCCACCAAUAUGCACUUAUACAAACGUAAACUACAUAUUUUAUUAAGCACAUACAUAUUAAGAUGUACACACAUCAAGCGAAUAUAUGCAAGAUGGGGUACAUACAUAAACACCACCAAAUUUACAAGGGUUUACUAGAAUUGCUCAUCAUUCAGAAGCGGCCAUUGAAAUUACCCAACAUGGAAAUAGGGACGACGCAUAAUCCUCUAGUCCUCAAGUCCAUAUUAUUACUGUUACUGUUGUUUCCUUCUCUGAGAUUCCUCAUCAUCGUCAGCUUUUGUUCAUCUCCUUCUUGGAUUUGGAUUUGAUGAUCCCCCAUGCCUCUCAUAUUUCCCUAUCAAUACCGUAUCGCAAACAUCUUUACGUGUUACAUCCAUCGAAUAUAAUGUAAAGAUUAUUAAUACGAAAAGAUCAUAUACCUUCCUUAUAACUAGACAAACAAAGCUUAUCUAAUAAUACAGGACCAAGUCUGUCUUAAUAAACUAAUAUUAUGCAAAAUGAAUCUUCUCUAUCUUUUCCGUUUGGGUUAUAAAUGAAAUUAAAUUCAAGUUGAUAUAUAGGUGGACACAUAAAUUUAUAUGUAUGAAAGAAAGCAUAGAGAUUACCAUAACGAAACUAGAAGAGACAUAGUCCUCAUGUUUUCUAGGAGGCGUCUGAAUAUGUUCAAUCUGACUGACCUGUUCAAUAUUAUUUAUAUAAAAUUAUACAUUUGCUAUAACUACUACAAAGGGAGAUUCUACAAGAGGAGAAUAAUAAUAAAAGGAUAAAGUAAUUAUUGGAGGUAACUGACUCAUAAUCAAUCAUAUUUUACAAUUAAAUUAAAAUUAUAAUUUUUUCUAUAGAUUUGCACCAAAAAAGAAAAGCAAAAGAAAAAUUUUGGAUUAAAAUUUCAAUCAUGGAUCAUGUUUUAAUUGGAUUACGUUAAGUAGUAUCUAACCUUAGGGCUAUUAACCGGAGAGCUAGCUGUAUCCUCCAAAGAAUCAUCCUCACAAAUCUUUUUGGUUCUUGCCUUCCCAAACUUCAAUUUCACCGGAAAAUUAACUGGAAAACUCCGGCCAGAAAAUGCGUCAGUGGCGGCGUCGGAGACCAGAGAAGGAGAGGCGUCCAGAAUCGAACACGAACUCUUAUCUUGAUGAUCGUUAUCUUCAGGAUGAGUUCUGUAUUGAUUUGAGAAAUCUUCAAGAUAAGUUGUCCAUCCACUCUCCUCUUGCUGAACACCAUCAUGAUGAUCAUGAUCAGGAUCAUCAAUAUCAGUAUCAUUAUCGUGACGGUCGAAAGGAGCGUGAUUUUGUUCAUAAGAAUUACAAGAGAAUGUAUCCAUCAUGUGGAGAAAGGAGGAAUAAACCAAAAUAAAAUGGAAUAAUUCGUAAGUGGUUGCGUUUGGUAUGUAUAUAUAUUAAGGUCGUUAAAUUUUCGUGAUAUAUAAAAAAGGAGAAAUAAAACUAAUUGGAGAGACAGUAAUCGGAAUCUUGAUGUGGUCAUCACAUGGGUCCCAAAGCGUUGAUCAAAAUAUGGAGAACUAAAAGCCAACGAUGGACCUCUGUAGAAGUGUGACAUUAAGCUAUCUAUAGGAAAUAUGUUCCACCAUACAAAAGUGAAAUAUAAGUCCAUUUUUAUUUUUCGAAAUGAAAAACAUUUUGCAUAUGUAAACAAAUACGCAGAUUUACAGUCGUGGACCGAUCGGUAGAAAGUGGGUAAUACAUAACGAGACCAUACAAUCAUAUAAGUAGGAAACAAAACAUUUAUAUUUGUUCUUUCAAAAUUAGGAUAUUGCUAAACUUAAGAUUUGUAUGAUUUUAUUCCUUCAGUGAUGUUUUAUCAAAUAGUUUUGACCCAAAAAUAAGCUUAAAUGUGAUCUGGCCCAACUUAUCGUUGAUUUGCAGGCAUUUCUUUAUUAUUAGUUGAGACAUAGCUUUCCAACAAACUCAUUUACGCAAUGGUAGAAUAUAAACUAUACAUUAUGUGUCUGUCUGCAGAAAAAAAAAACUAUUUGUAAAGUGCGUUAUGAUAAUCGAAGCAAACGUAGACAACAACAAAUUUAAACUACGAUUAGUGCAAAAACGAAAUUUCUAAAUAAAAAUAGAAGCCAUAGAGGGUUGGUUAGCGUGAAAAGUAAUUCAAACGGCUGAUUUCGUUUUGACAAAUAUCCUCUAGGAACGCUAUCAUGAUGUGGCUAUCUGAUUUUUUGAAAGAAUAAUUAAAUAGUUAAACCUAAAUUGUUAAAGUGGAGCAGUUGAUGUAUCAGUUAUUAAUAUUUAACCCUAAUACAAACCAAAAUAAAAGAGAGAAGGAAUGUCAUGUAUGUUCGUUGAACUUGACCACUUUUGAUGUUGCGUGAGAAUGGCAAACGCCAAAUGAAGUAGACCUUUUUGUUUUAUCGUUUAGCCGUUACAGAACGAUGACAAUUGAAACUAUUGGACGUGAUGUGCAAAAACAUGUGAAGAUGGGAUACGAUGAGAGCUCGGUAAUUUUGAAAAUAGUAUAUAGAUUUGUAAGCUUAAAAAUGGAGCACUUUUAUAAGUAGAUUUUUGCAAUGUACAAAAAAAUCAUUAAAUGUUAAUUAGAGCAUCUCCAAAAAAAUUCUCUAUUUUAAUGUUUUAUAACUCUAUAAUCGAAAUUUCAAGGUGUUUUUCUCCUAAUCAAAACUUCAUACUUAACUUCAAAAUUAUUUGUAUUUUACACUAUGAUCUUUAAAUUUAUCAUACUAAUGUAAAUCCAUAAAAAAUUAUAAAUAACUAGCACAUAUAUAAGAAUAUUACAGAAAUAUCAAUUAAUAAAAUCUUACACUAAAAUAUAAAAUUAUAAAUCAAAAUACAAUUAAAUAUUAAAUCUCCAAGCAAAAUACCAUAUUAUUUCAUAAAAUUAUUUUCGUAAUGUUCUAUUUUCGGUUACAAAAACAUUGUUUGGACAAUAUUUUGGAGAUUUUGGAGGUUCCAGAGUAAAUUUACAAGAUUAUUGGUGAUUAUUGGUGUUGUUGUAAUAUUUGAAUUUAUGCAAUAAUUAUGUCUUCAUGUAUCUUUUUUUAAAAAAAAAUUAGUAAGUUUUUUUGUAAUAUUCUUAUUGUCUAAUUAUAGUUUUAAAAUAUUGUAAAACUAGUGUCUAAUUAUAUUUAUUAGAUAUAGUGUAAUCAAGUAUACUCUAUAACUUUGUUUUGAAUUGUAUAGAUUUAAUAACCAAAUUAAAAAAUGUUUUCCUAAUUUUCACUUUAGUUAAACACAAACUAUAUUAUGAAAUAAAGUGAAUAGUAACGAACAAAAUUAGUUAUUUAUACAAACAAUUCCCUCAAAGAAAAAAAAUUAUUUUUUUUAAGAAGAAAGAAAAAAAAAUUAGUUUAGAUUGAAAAUUUGAGAAAUCUGAAUUUUACUUUGGAAACCCUCCAAUCCUCGAAUAAAUUAACACCAUGCCUCAAAGUCAAAGAAACACACAUUCUUAACUACAACGUACAUAAAUUGUCCAGCUCCUCACUUGACAGCAUCAACUCUGUAGUCUAUUUAGGUUAAGAAAAAAAAAACUCAAGCGAAAUGAUAUUUACUAGUAUUUAGAAUUUGCUGGAACCAAAAUUCUCCAGCGGUAAUCGAAUGUGGAAACAUUACAAAGUGAAUAAGAAAAAUCCACAAUACCCCUCUCUCUUUUUCUUAUCAUGUUCCUUUUCUCUCGAUACCAUUUUUUCUCUGUUUUUCCUUUUUUUGUUUAUUGAAAAAAAAAACAGAAGAAAGCGGGCGAAAUCUCCGCCUCAUCUCUCCAUUUCGCUUUAAAAACGGCUAGAAACUGUGCUCCAAUCAACCCCACGGCGGUGAAUGAAACAAAAGAAACUAUCAUCGGAUUCACUUGUUUUAUAUUAGAUAUAUCUACAAAUAGGUUUUGGAAGAUGCUAGUAGUCGAUGAUUGGUUCUCCGAUGGUGAGAUUUCUCUCCACUGUCCAUGGUAAGUCGAAGAGCUUCGCGGUCACAAACUUGAAGAUCUUAUUUACGUUUAUGUUGUAAGAAGCACUCGAGAAGAAGAGAGUCGCGUUUAGCGCCUUGGCAUAGGUUCUCGCCUGGCUAGCAAUAGUCCAUUGCAGAUCGAUAGGGAGCUGAAUAAACUCAUCAAACUUUGUUCCUACCAUAACUGGAAUCGCGGUCU